Molecule: RNA transcript, 1662 nt
Organism: Papaver somniferum (opium poppy)
Lineage: Eukaryota; Viridiplantae; Streptophyta; Magnoliopsida; Ranunculales; Papaveraceae
Exons: 4
Source: RefSeq, a predicted model, not a curated record
ACAAGUCCCGAUUAAUUUCAUUUUUAGCUUGCAAUUAAUUGAUAUAUAUAUAUAUAUAUAUAGAAUCAGUAGGAUUCUUCUUCAGCAAAAAUAUGAAUCAGUCUGAGAUGAUUCUUCAAAAUACACUCCCUGAUGAUAUUGAUCUCAACAUAGCUUCUUUUCUCCAGGUUCUUGCUCUAAAUUUUGGCGGGAGUUGUGUUCUACUGAUUAUCUUUGGGUUUCUCUAUCUAAAGAUAGAUGUCCUGCUUUGGGUAUUUCUUCAGAAUCACCAAUUCCUUUGAUUCUAAAUAACAGCAAUACAGGAUCAUCAUCACUAUCAUCCAAUGAAAAUAUCCAGGUACAAAAUUCGUCUGCUAAGGGAUGGAGGAGAUUUUACAUAAACAAACAUGGUGAUAUGGCUAGUAGAGCUAGUAAUAUUAUUAAGUUUGUAGAAGAAGGCACUAGCCCAUCAAAUUUCUUGAGGUUGGGGAUUUUGUGAAAGCAGUUCAGGACUUAUCUUUGAUGGAUUUUGGGCUUAAAGAUGUUCUCAUGUUCUUCUUCUCGUCCAAACAGAAUGUGUUGGUUAACCUCGCCGGCUUGCACUACUGCAUGUUUUGGCUUAAUGUAUCGACUGAAGAUGCCAUUGCCGCUCUUAGGAAUUGUAGCAUACAAGAGCGAGAACUCUGUGUGAGUUGGUGGAAACUAGGAAGAUGGUUUUACGGAUUUCAUAUGCGUGAUGAAUCCAACAUCCGAAGGGUGUCUUUAGGAGAUCUUGCAUUAGCAAAAGAAAAUGAAGUUCUCGCGGUACUCUGUAGAGGAGCAAUACAUGAGGUGUUGCGCGUUCAGAUCUCUAUCCCUCCUCCUGCUUGCAUCACUUCCCUUCAUGCUCAAUAGUGGCUGCAUCCCAUCCAGGUACGCUAAUAUGUCUGAUAUGCAAUUUAUGUACAUUGCAGUGUAAUGUUUGUCGAAGGUUCAGUUCCCAGCUAAUUUCCCGUCUCUAUAAAACUCACCUGCCUCUUGUGCAUAUAUGGUUUUCUUUUAGUCACUCGAUAUGUAUCAAUAUGCUCAAUAAAUGUAAAUAUGCUCAUUACACAUGGCUAUAGAUUCGAUCGUUCAUUUAUGGUUUUAUGUGAAUGAUUCGUAAAAUAACAAAAUCUGAAAUUUAUGUACUGUUUCAAUGUUUUAAUCGGAGUAUUUGUAUUUGAGUUGCAAGUAUUAUGCUAUUAAAUAUGAGAGGAGGUUAUCUAGAGAUUCUGCUUUUCACUCUCUAUAGACGGCAGAACAUCGAUCAGUAAGUCAUGAAGAGUAAGAGAAGUAACAUGGUAGGUAGUUGUAAGGAAAUCGUCUUUUUGAUCUGCAAAUGUAAGCAUAUACUGAACGAGGUCAGCAGAAGUGUGCAAAGUGCAACUAAAAGAGCUUACAAACUAACCCCUUGCAAAAAAAAACUUCAGAAAUGCAGAACCAAAGAGCAACAUAAAGAGGACUAUCUUGUGAAAAUACUGUCCCAGGAAGCUAUUACAUAAGCGUCUAGUUUGUAUUAGAAUGAUUCAUGGUAGAGAAUUUGGUGUCAGUCGAUCAAACGAGUAUUUGUACUAUCUAUGAAAUCUCUGAUGAACAUUUCAACAGAUUUUGUGGUUGAUUCCUUAGCAAGUGAAUACAACAAGACUGUUCUUACAUUUACAA